GUGCUUGCUUUGGCAGCACAUAUACUAACACUGGAACAAAACCGAGAUCACCAUGGCCCCUGUGCAAGGAUGACACUCAAAUUCAGGAAGCGUUCCAUAUUUUU
Molecule: small nuclear RNA, 104 nt
Organism: Oryctolagus cuniculus (rabbit)
Lineage: Eukaryota; Metazoa; Chordata; Mammalia; Lagomorpha; Leporidae
Source: Ensembl